CAUAUUGUUACAUACUACUCAGGA
This 24-nucleotide non-coding RNA is filed under the name Cricetulus griseus (Chinese hamster). The record is from RNAcentral. Lineage: Eukaryota; Metazoa; Chordata; Mammalia; Rodentia; Cricetidae.